RNAcentral lists this ribosomal RNA (492 nucleotides) under uncultured bacterium. RNAcentral describes it as "partial 16S ribosomal RNA". It matches the Rfam family "Bacterial small subunit ribosomal RNA", at positions 29 to 507 of the family's 1533-position model. The record is from RNAcentral.
AGUGAACGCUGGCGGUAGGCCUAACACAUGCAAGUCGAACGGCAGCACAGUAAGAGCUUGCUCUUACGGGUGGCGAGUGGCGGACGGGUGAGGAAUACAUCGGAAUCUACUUUUUCGGGGGGGAUAACGUAGGGAAACUUACGCUAAUACCGCAUACGACCUACGGGUGAAAGCAGGGGAUCUUCGGGCCUUGCGCGAUUGAAUGAGCCGAUGUCGGAUUAGCUAGUUGGCGGGGUAAGGGCCCACCAAGGCGACGAUCCGUAGCGGGUCUGAGAGGAUGAUCAGCCACACUGGAACUGAGACACGGUCCAGACUCCUACGGGAGGCAGCAGUGGGGAAUAUUGGACAAUGGGCGCAAGCCUGAUCCAGCCAUACCGCGUGAGUGAAGAAGGCCUUCGGGUUGUAAAGCCCUUUUGUUGGGAAAGAAAAGCAGCAGGUUAAUACCCCGCUGUUCUGACGGUACCCAAAGAAUAAGCACCGGCUAACUUCGUG